GCCCUAAUUCUCACACAUCCCUCUCUUCCGCCGCUACCUAUCUCUCUCAACCUACAGGAUUUGUAGAAUCCCAUUUCCACACCAUUCUUUCUCAACUAUCCCUGCAUCACAUGGAAGAGGAGACGUCAAAGGAAUUAGAAUUAGAUCAAUUUAUUUUCUCAAGGAUACAUUUUAAUGGAUUGACGGUUCGAUUAUCCUAUCAAUUUGUAAUCCUUGUUCACUUUUCGGGAUGGGCGGCAUUGGAAAUAUUAUAUUUAUCAAAUGAGACGACAAACAUUAGAAAGACAACUCUUGCUAUAAGGUAAUAAUGUUCACUAAAUCUCAAGACUGAUGAAUUAUGAAUAUAUUAUUGCUCAAUGUGUUGUAUACAUGAAUGAAACUGGAUUGUUGCUGGAGUGUAUUUCAUGAAACUUUUGUUUUAUGAAAUCUCAACAGGGGAGCUUUCCAAAGCUUAUCUUCGUAAGCAUGAAGAUUGCUAGCUCGGAUUUUAGUUGUAAUGUUGCAAUCAUCAUUGAAAUAUAAAAUGUUUCCUACUAUAAUUUUUGUUGAUAAUUUAUCUUUAAUGAGUAGAAGUCAGAUUCUAUAAACUCUCAACUUAGAUAUAAUGUUUCUCGUAGCUUAAUUAGAAAUAUUACAUCUUAAUUUCGUGCCCCCCUUUACUGAACUUGCUCAUUCUACUUUUCCUGACCAAACAAAAUUAAUAUAUGCCAUAACUGAAAUUAAUGUGGGAUUUCAAAAUAUACGAAGACUUAAUUUAUAUUUUGAUGUAUAAAUGAAGUAGACAUUUUUUUUAUGUGGAUUUUUUUAUGAGCUAAUUCUUUUUUUGGUUCUAGGGGAUUAUUUGAAUUCCAUAACUGUUUUGGGCUUUUUUUAAAUUUCAUCCUCCUGUUACAUUUUGGUAAGUUUUGUUCAAUAUUUUGGCAUUCCUCUCUUAUUCUUUGGUUAUUGCAUAUUUUGUGUAGGUUUUUAGUCAUUUUGUAAAUUAGGGUUUAUGAUGAAAUUGUUCAAUUAGUCCGAUGAUUUGUUGUUUUGUUAAUUGUAACUGGUUUUUAUUGAUGAUAUGCAAGCAAUUGAUUCUAUAGGUUUGUGAAAUUCAUCCAAUUAUUGAAGUUGUGAAAUUCAUCCAAUUAGUGAAAGAUGAUUGUUGAAUCUUGAGAGUUUUCUUAAUGCUUGUUCACUUUUCAAGAAUCCCAUGUUGUUUGUUAAGUCUUUUGUCUCCAACUUUUAAAGUGGAAAAAAGGCCGCCGCAAAUGGAUCCACGCUAUGAAAGGAUUCAGGCUCGAAGGCGUCAACUAACCGAUAGAGCGCAGAGGCAUCGAUUAAGUCGUUUGUUUUCGUUGGAUACGUUUGUGCAGCGAGUGCGUGAACUUGAAGACAAAAUUGCAAACGAUGAACAAGAGCUGCAAAUGAUUUGUCAGAUCUUGAAGUCAAGGUCUACUUUAACGUUAUCGGGGAAUCGUGAGGUUGUUUUCUUCAAUGAAAACUUGCGACCCUAUUAUGGAUUAGAUGGAAACUUCAAGUUCUAGAGGGCAAUUGUGAUAUGGACCUAAAGAUCCGUCAGCUCUAUAUCUUCAAAAGAAACACAUAUCAAAUAAACUACUGACAGAUGACACAACACAUCUUUUCAAAGUUAGUCGGACGGAAAGUAAUAUAUGGGGUGUGGAUAUUCAUGCCAAUGUGAGGCAUUGGCUUAGCAUGUUUGGUUUCUGAGGCGUGAUGGAUUGUGGAAAGUCGAUGAAGGUCGACAGCGAGCUUAUCACUACUUUGGUUGAGCGCUGGAGGCCGGGGACACACACUUUCCAUCUACCGGUUGGAGAGGCGAUAGUCACCUUAGAAGAUGUGCAAGUCCUCUGGGGCUUGAGAGUGGAUGAUCGUGUUUUCACAAGCCGUAAUCAUCAUGUCGGAUAUACCGAUUGGCCCAGCAAGUGUCAAGAUUUGUUGGGAUAGAUACUCGAUACAGAAACAGAGACAAAGUAAGACGGUAUGCAAAUGACCGCUCUGAUCAAUCAAACUAGGAUACCUUUGGGUGAUGACCUACCUACUUAUGGUAAUGACAUACCUACCUAUGUCUAGAUUCAAAGGGCACGACGUAUCCAUGCCCUAAUCUUGUUAGGACUCAUUCUAUCAGACAUAACGGGGUGUAAGGUUCCUUUUAUGUGGGUGAAUGCAUUUGAGGAUCUGGAUGAGUUGCACAAUAUUAGUUGGGGAAGUGCAGCUUUGUCUUACUUGUAUCAUUAUCCGUGCGAGUCUUCCAUUGACAAGAGAAAAGGGUUGGGCGGGCCUAUAAUGCUUCUGCAGCUAUGGGCGUGGGAAAGAAUGUCCACAUUGAGGCCGUCGUUCGUAGUAGCGCUUGUGCACGAGCCGUAUAGGCCAUGUGGCGCCAGGAACUACUCAAAUACGAAAUGCUCCUAGAUUUUCGAUGGAGCAUUACCGAAUCAAAUAUCUUAGGCCAGUUUCUAUGGACACCAUAUGUGAAUUGCAUAUUGUUUGACUACUGCAAUGAUGUGAAUGAGUGUUCUCUGUGCGACGUGCGACACUUAUUUGGUAUGUUGGUUGUAUGUCGAGGUGCAUGAGGCUGGCCGAGUGCGUGGAUGCUAAAAAACACUGCUCAGCGUGUUAAGAAGGGUAAUAAUUGGAAAAACACGCAUCAAUUCUAUAUUUGGGAGUGAGACAUGAGGUAUGAAAGGUUCCAGGAAACCGUAGACACCGCAACGAUGUCCAUGAACAUUCCAUUGAGUCCGGGAUAUAUGGCGUGGUAUAACAGGAUUACAGUGAUAUACCUAACUUAACCUAGGGGUUGAGGCUCUUCAGCAGAUUUGGCAUUUGACUACUGAAUAAGAAAUGGACCCAAGAAUGCGACAGGUUCUAGAAAUCUCUAGGCAGGCCCUUCAGUCUAUGAACCACGCCGAUGUCAUGGAGUACCCUGCCUCCCAACACCAAGAUGUGGUCAUGCCUAAUGAACCAAAUGAUAAUCUACCACGUCGAGGAUUGAGGGGUGUUCAAAUUGGUGGACACGGUUACACAAAACAGAUUAGGAUGUCACAGCCGCAUCUCGAUUAUGUGUAGCUAGAGCCUAUGAAUCUAGAGAAUGACCCACCUCAGUGGUCUUUCUAUCCAAGCCACGAGUCUCAAUCACAAUGGGGUUGUUCCCUCUGUUCCCCAAGCCAACCUGAGCCUGAUUGGAGUCGUUGCUCCUAUUCCCAAAGCCAAAAUGAGCCGCAAUGGAGUGGAGCCUAGCAUCAGUCGAUUCAUUCUUGCAAAAUUUUAAGUUUGUGGCUCUUAUACGAGUUGAAGGAGAAGAAGAAAAUGAAGGAGGAGAAGAAAAAGAGGAAAAUGAGGAAGAAGAGGUUGUUCAGAACACCCAUGUCCAACCUCGACCAGUCGCGGAUGGUUCAUCACGCACCGGGGUUGGGAAGUACGUGAACAAAAUGAUGAAGAGAUUCUCAACCAGGAAGAACAAGUGGAUAAUACAAUUGAAAUACACCUCAUCGUCGUAUAAGUAGCUCAUUUUAGAAGGUUAUAAUGUUAUGUAUCUUUUGUGAACUUGUGUCUUUUUUUAAAAAACUUUGUAUUGGCUUUUUGUGAACUUAUUUUUAAAAAUUUUGUAUCAUUUUAUAUUGA
This is an RNA transcript of Salvia splendens (bonfire salvia), 3621 nucleotides long. RefSeq lists it as uncharacterized. The transcript has 5 exons. The record is from RefSeq and is a predicted model, not a curated record. NCBI's taxonomy places the organism in Eukaryota, Viridiplantae, Streptophyta, Magnoliopsida, Lamiales, Lamiaceae.